RNAcentral lists this ribosomal RNA (232 nucleotides) under uncultured bacterium. Its description in RNAcentral is "partial 16S ribosomal RNA". It matches the Rfam family "Bacterial small subunit ribosomal RNA", at positions 538 to 769 of the family's 1533-position model. The record is from RNAcentral.
GCGUUGCUCGGAAUGACUGGGCGUAAAGGACGUGUAGGCGGUUUACACAGUCAGAUGUGAAAUCCCCGGGCUUAACCUGAGAGCUGCAUUUGAGACGUGCAGACUAGAGUGUGAGAGAGGGUUGUGGAAUUCCCAGUGUUGAGGUGAAAUUCGUAGAUAUUGGGAAGAACACCGGUGGCGAAGGCGGCAACCUGGCUCAUUACUGACGCUGAGGCGCGAAAGCGUGGGGAGC